RNAcentral lists this ribosomal RNA (407 nucleotides) under uncultured bacterium. Its description in RNAcentral is "partial 16S ribosomal RNA". It matches the Rfam family "Bacterial small subunit ribosomal RNA", at positions 28 to 526 of the family's 1533-position model. The record is from RNAcentral.
GAUGAACGCUAGCUAUAGGCUUAACACAUGCAAGUCGAGGGACGGGCGCACGGGAGAGUAACGCGUAUCAAACCUACCCAUAACUAAAGGAUAACCCAACGAAAGUUCGACUAAUACCUUAUGGUUAUGGAUGGGGAUGCGUCUGAUUAGCUUGUUGGCGAGGUAACGGCCCACCAAGGCAACGAUCAGUAGGGGUUCUGAGAGGCAGGUCCCCCACAGUGGAACUGAGACACGGUCCCCAACCGUACGCGAGGCAGCAGUGAGGUACAUGGGUGAAUGGACGCAAGUCUGAACAUGCCAAGUAUCGUGCAGGAGGCCUGCCUUUGGGUGUUCAACUGCUUGUAUAUGGGGAUAGGUACCAUAUGAAGAAGGACCGGCUAACUCCGUGCCAGCAGCCGCGGUAAUUC